GCCUUGUACACACCGCCCGUCACACCACGGGAGUUGGGAGUACCCGAAGUAGGUUGCCUAACCGCAAGGAGGGCGCUUCCUAAGGUAAGACCGAUGACUAGGGGUGAAGUCGUAACAAGGUAGCCGUAUCGGAAGGUGCGGCUGGAUCACCUCCUUU
RNAcentral lists this ribosomal RNA (157 nucleotides) under Lactococcus lactis subsp. lactis. Its description in RNAcentral is "partial 16S ribosomal RNA". It matches the Rfam family "Bacterial small subunit ribosomal RNA", at positions 1378 to 1533 of the family's 1533-position model. Lineage: Bacteria; Bacillati; Bacillota; Bacilli; Lactobacillales; Streptococcaceae. The record is from RNAcentral.